AUGUAGUUUUAACUAAAACUAUCUAGUUUCAAAGUAUCCUAUAUAAUUUUAAAUAAAAUACAUAGUUUUGAUGUACCAAAUUAAAAAAAAAAACUAAAUAAAACUAUAUAAUUUAGUAAAACUAUAUAGCUUUGAUGUACCAAACUAAAAAAACCUAAAUAAAAUUACAUAAUUUAAAAUAGAACUAUGUAUUUUUUAUAUACUAAACUUAAGAAAAUCCAAGACAAAGUAAACUCUAAUUCAAUUAUCUUCUUCUCCUCUCAAACUCGCGUCAACUCAACCUUCUCAGAGCCUCCACCACCCACCCCCUGCUUCACGCCGCCGUUCACUCUAUUGCUGCUGCCAUUCACGUCGUCGGUGCUGCCGUCCAGACCACCACUGCUGCCGUCCACGCUGCUGCUGUGUUCAAGCCGCCGCUGCUGGCGUCGUUCUCAACCGCUGCUCCGUCUCAGGUAAGGUUUUUGCCAAAGUUUCUUGAGUUAACGAUUUUGAUUGUGGCUGUCAUUUUAGAUGCUAUAAAAGAGGAGAUUACCCAACUCCUUUUACUUUAACACACCUAAUAUAACUGCUCAUUUCUUUCCACCUUUACACAGAAAAGCAACCAAGAAGAGAUAGAAAGCAUGUCAUUUGAAAUGCUACAUAGUAACUGUACUAGGUGAAGAAUACUGUGACAAAAAAAAAAAGAUACUAGGUAAAGAAUACAGUUAGCUUACAUAGUGCAGAGGUGGCCCUUGUAAACUUAUCACUGUCAAUAUUAUGUUAGACUUCUAAUCAGCUGAACAAAUAAUUUCGGUUUAGUUUUAGAUUUUCAUUUGUAAUUUUAUUUGAAUUAACGGUUGUUUUUCAGUUAACAAUUCAUCUAGUAUAAAUAUUUUUUAUAUUUUUUAUAUGCAUAAUACAUUAUAACUACUUAUUUUUAUAUAUUCAUUCUUAUUUUAAACUUUUAGGAUCUUAUUCAACUGUAGAAGCAAGUUGUUUAUCUUCAGUUGAGAAAGAUGUUGAAUUAUGAAGUGUAUUUCCAUGAAGUUUUUAUUGAGUAAGUGCUAUUUAAAUAUUUCUUAUAAUAAUAAUAAUUAUAAAUAGAUUUAUUAUUUAAUAUUUAAUAUGCUAAUGGUAUUUUUUUUUUUCAAAUUUGAUAGAUAAACAACUUGAAUAUGGAGUUGAAGAUCUACAAAGUGUAAUAAAUAUUGUAUUUUAUUUAGUUAUUAUUACUUAUGAUAUUGUUUUAGAUUUUACUAAAUUUAUGCUUGAUUUGUAUUAAUAUAUAGAAUAUUUAAUGUUGAAUUCUUAGACUUGAUUAGUAUAUGUUUUGUUAUUUUGUUAUUUAUUUAAAUUAUUGUAAACAUGUUUGGUAAACAGAUACCAAUUUAAUUACCCGUAUAUUCAUAUAAAUAGAUUUUAAUGGAUAGAGUAUCCGCUACCCAUUUAAAUACUCAUAAAAUUUAUUUAAUCUAAACAGGUUUUAAUCGGAUUUAGAUAGCUUGUGAGUAAUUUUAUUAAGAUUUGGGACGGGUUCGAAUUACAAGUGUCAUUUCUUAAACGGAUUUGGGACGGUUCAGAUAAGUAUGGUUUAAAUGCGUUCGGGUUCGGAUAGCAUUAAAUGGGCGAAUACCUUAGCCAUUGCCAUCCCUAGUUUGAUCCAGUUUAGAAGGGUAAUUAUAUAAGAUUUUUGAUUCUUUGCAUACUCGUAUGUAAUAGUGCAAAUGUGCUUGAAUGUCUUUAAUUAUAUUUGAGUUUAUUGUUAUAAUUUUUUUUUAUAGAAUUUGAAGUUUUAAAUUAUUUCUCUCUCUUAGAAUGUUAUUGCGCAGAGGACUUGAAUCACUCAACCUUUGUUAUAUCUCUAUGAACUUUCACUCUUUCUCUUUUUGUCUUUAUUUUAUGCAUGGAGUUCCUUCUUUUUUGGAAUGACAUCAUCGUGGUUCAUAGAGUCAUUUGAAUCUAUUCUAUUUUAUUUUGUUCAAACUCAGAGAUUAUAUGCAUCUUCUCCAUUGACUUGUGUGUUCUUCUCCUUUUCAUAAUUCACUGCAUUUUAGUUUUCAUAACUACUAUUACCACCUUUCAUCAAACUAUCUGUUAAACACUGUAAUUAAAUGUUUAUUGUAAGGGUAGUAUAGUCUUUUCCAUGUUAGAGUAUAAAUAGUUAUCUUUCCUUUAUUUUUAGGUUAAGCUUCUUUUGAUGAUCUACAUUAUGAUUUUCUUUCAAUCUUAUCAUGGUAUCAGAGCUUAAUUGUUUUACAAUCAGAAACAGCCUCGACGUCUGCUCGUUCUUCCUCUUCUUUGCUGCGUGCUUCUACUUCUUGUGCUGUGUGCGUUGCUGCUGUGUGUGCUGCUGCUGUGUUUUCCAUCCUCGACGUCUGCUCGUUCUUCCUCUUCUUUGCUGCGUGCUUCUACUUCUUAUGUUGUGUGCGUUGCUGCUGUGCGUCGGCAUUUCCACUUUGCACGCCACCUGCUCGACAAAACUCCCCUGUUCAAUCUGUUGUGCAGUCUGCUGCUGUUCGUGGCGUGUUGGUUUCGGAUGAAAUUCUUGUAAAGACGAGAAUAUUGUUAAAGAUAGUUGCAGCAAACAAUGAUGUUGGCAUGCCACCUGCUCGACAAAAUUCUUUAAGGUUGGAUUUGUUGAUAGGGGCUGUGGCUUAAAUUUAUUUGCUUGGUGGAAAAUUAUAUAUUGUGGUUUUAUAUUGAUAAAUGGU
This 2690-nucleotide long non-coding RNA is filed under the name Ricinus communis (castor bean). RNAcentral's name for it is "long non-coding RNA (RCOM_LNC000101)". Lineage: Eukaryota; Viridiplantae; Streptophyta; Magnoliopsida; Malpighiales; Euphorbiaceae. The record is from RNAcentral.